ACUUUAAGUCUCCUGAAGGAACGUUAAAGACGAUGACGUUGAUAGGCCGGGUGUGUAAGCGCAGCGAUGCGUUGAGCUAACCGGUACUAAUGAACCGUGAGGCUUAACCUUACAACGCCGAAG
This 123-nucleotide ribosomal RNA is filed under the name Klebsiella quasipneumoniae subsp. similipneumoniae. Its description in RNAcentral is "partial 23S ribosomal RNA". It matches the Rfam family "Bacterial large subunit ribosomal RNA", at positions 2804 to 2925 of the family's 2925-position model. Lineage: Bacteria; Pseudomonadati; Pseudomonadota; Gammaproteobacteria; Enterobacterales; Enterobacteriaceae. The record is from RNAcentral.